This 1413-nucleotide ribosomal RNA is filed under the name uncultured bacterium. RNAcentral describes it as "bacterial SSU rRNA". It matches the Rfam family "Bacterial small subunit ribosomal RNA". The record is from RNAcentral.
AGAGUUUGAUCCUGGCUCAGGAUGAACGCUAGCGACAGGCUUAACACAUGCAAGUCGAGGGGCAGCGGGGCGCUGAGGCAACUCAGCGCCGCCGGCGACCGGCGCACGGGUGAGUAACACGUAUGCAACCUGCCCCCGGCAGGGGGAUAACCCGGAGAAAUCCGGCCUAAUAUCCCAUGACGCGCCCAGAGGACAUCCUCCGGGCGCCAAAGGAGGCGACUCCGGCCGGGGCUGGGCAUGCGGCGCAUUAGCCAGUUGGCGGGGCAACGGCCCACCAAGGCGACGAUGCGUAGGGGUUCUGAGAGGAAGGUCCCCCACAUUGGAACUGAGACACGGUCCAAACUCCUACGGGAGGCAGCAGUGAGGAAUAUUGGUCAAUGGCCGCAAGGCUGAACCAGCCAAGUCGCGUGAAGGACGAAGGCCCUACGGGUCGUAAACUUCUUUUGCCGGGGAGCAAGCCCCACCACGCGUGGAGGGGCCGAGAGUACCCGGAGAAAAAGCAUCGGCUAACUCCGUGCCAGCAGCCGCGGUAAUACGGAGGAUGCAAGCGUUAUCCGGAUUUAUUGGGUUUAAAGGGUGCGUAGGCGGCCCGACAAGCCAGCGGUCAAACCGGGGGGCUCAACCCCCCGCCGCCGUUGGAACUGCCGGGCUCGAGUGAGCGAGAAGUAAGCGGAAUGCGUGGUGUAGCGGUGAAAUGCAUAGAUAUCACGCAGAACGCCGAUUGCGAAGGCAGCUUACCGGCGCUCAACUGACGCUGAGGCACGAAAGUGCGGGGAUCGAACAGGAUUAGAUACCCUGGUAGUCCGCACAGUAAACGAUGAAUGCUAGCCGUCCGGGCCAAUCGAGGCCUGGGUGGCCGCAGCGAAAGCGUUAAGCAUUCCACCUGGGGAGUACGCCGGCAACGGUGAAACUCAAAGGAAUUGACGGGGGCCCGCACAAGCGGAGGAACAUGUGGUUUAAUUCGAUGAUACGCGAGGAACCUUACCCGGGCUCAAACGCCGCAGGAAGCACAUUUGAAAGGAGGUGCGCCGGUUCGCCGGCCUGCGGCGAGGUGCUGCAUGGUUGUCGUCAGCUCGUGCCGUGAGGUGUCGGCUUAAGUGCCAUAACGAGCGCAACCCCCACCGACAGUUGCUAACUGGCAAUGCAGAGGACUCUGUCGGGACUGCCGGCGCAAGCUGCGAGGAAGGCGGGGAUGACGUCAAAUCAGCACGGCCCUUACGUCCGGGGCGACACACGUGUUACAAUGGCCGCCACAGCGGGGAGCCACCACGCGAGUGGGAGCGGAACCCCAAAGGCGGCCUCAGUUCGGAUCGGAGUCUGCAACCCGACUCCGUGAAGCUGGAUUCGCUAGUAAUCGCGCAUCAGCCAUGGCGCGGUGAAUAAGUUCCCGGGCCUUGCACACACCGCCCGUCA